RNAcentral lists this long non-coding RNA (430 nucleotides) under Medicago truncatula (barrel medic). RNAcentral's name for it is "long non-coding RNA (MTRU_LNC003244)". The record is from RNAcentral. Lineage: Eukaryota; Viridiplantae; Streptophyta; Magnoliopsida; Fabales; Fabaceae.
UACAACCAAAAGAAGUUCUCAGAACACCAGAACCAAUGCACUCUUCUUCAAUAACCAAAAGCAGCAUCAAGAAUCUUCAAAACCAGGUAUGUACAUGCUUCUCAGUCUUAGAUCCCUUUCCUAGUAGCAUUUGGUCAAUAAUAUAGACUAAAUAUAUCAUUUAAUGAAUGAACCUAAAACGUUGAUUUUUGCUUAUAAUAGUGACCGGAGAGAGUACUUAUUUACUGAUUUGUUAAUUUUUGUAGCCAAAGUUCAAGAACUGUUUGUGUAUGAGAUCAAUGAACGUGAUAGAGGAAGUCCUGCAUACCUUAGACUAAGUCAAAAAUCAGUGAACUCACUUGGAGAUUUAGUACCAUUCAGCAACAAACUCUAUUCAGGAAACUUGGAAAAAAGGUUAGGUAUAACUUCAGGUUUAUGUAUACUGAUCCAG